CACGGAAGGGGAGUUUUAUAGCACCCCAGCUCGAUGCCAAGAUCUAUAGUGACAAGCUCGACGCUAAGAUCUAUGACGUCGUUUUAGGUGCCACGUCUGCAGCCACUUCAGCCCGCUAUUUUUAGUGGUGAACAUACCUCGACAUAGACCAUGACGACGAGAAAAUGGUGCAAAAACUAAGUCUAAACUUGAUUUUUUUUCAUAAAAAAACAGGCUAAACUUAAAAAAAUUUGGGCAGCCCGUCGGAUGAGAUUCCGCACUCGCAACCUACAUUCGCGUCGACGCGUCGUCUCCACGCCGACUGAAAUGCCGCCGCCACUCCUUCCUGUCAUGUACCUUGUGUCGCCUCUCCCCCGCCAACUAAUCAUCUCCUGUAGCAGCAGCCGGCAGCAGGUGGCGGCCGCCGGCCAUGGAGCUGGCGGUGGGCGCGUCGGAGGCAACCCUCAAGUCACUGCUGAGCAAGCUCGGCGCCCUCCUCGCAGAGGAGUAUGCCCUGAUCCGUGGCGUCCGGGGCGACAUCCAAUUCAUCACCGACGAGCUAGCCAGCAUGCAGGCCUUCCUCAGCAACCUGAGCAAGUACGAGGAGGGCCACGACGACCAGACGGAGGACUGGAUGAAGCAGAUCCGGGACGUCGCCUACGACAUCGAAGACUGCAUCGACGACUUCGCCCACAGCCUCCGUCCAGACCCCAGGGGCAGCGGCUGGGUGACGGCCGUCCGCAAGAUUCUCUACGAGAUCCGGACGUGGUACCCCCGCCGCAACAUCGCCACCCAGAUCGUCGAUCUGAAGAACCGCGCGCAGCAUAUCGGCGAGCGCCGAACCAGGUACGGCGUCCGCGACCCGCAGCCUGGGAAGAAGAAGAGCAACUUGGGGGGCGCUACGGGGUAUCUCGCUGCUGAGAAUCAGGACGUGACCCGGCAACUCGUCCGCGCCCAGCAGCCUGUGGGGGUGAAGGAUAUGCCGGAUCUUAAGAAGUGGAUCCAUGAAGAUGGCAAGAGGGAGAAAACCGGCGUGCUGAGCAUUGUCGGGUUUGGUGGUGUGGGUAAAACCACCAUCGCAAUGGAUCUCUACACAAAAUACGGGCCUGAAUUCCAGCGUCGAGCAAUGGUCACUGUGUCCCAGAACUCAGAUCCUGAGGCGGUCGUCAGAAAUAUACUGAACCAGGUCAAACCACUGUCCAACAACGCGGAGAGGCGAGGCGAAGAUAGCUCUGGCGCCGUCUCCUUGGGGAAGAAGAAUCCAGUCAUUGCAACUAUAUUAAGCCGAAUUAGGCUGCCGUUCCCAAAUCAAAAGCAAGAUAAUGGUGGCGGUCGUGACAAGCAUGAACAAAUAAAAAAGGAGUUGAAGAAUUGCCUCGCAGAUACAAGGUACUUACUGUUAAUUGAUGAUGUAUGGUCAUCAUCAACAUGGCAAAGUAUUUGGAAAUAUUUUCCUGAAGAAAAUAAGAAGGGAAGCAGAAUAAUUGUCACCACACGGUUUCAAGCUGUUGCCACGACAUGCUCUGCACAUAAAGAUCAAGAUCAUAUUCAUUUGGUUGAUGUUCUUUCCGGUGAAGAGGCCAACAGUUUAUUCAUCAAAACCUUGUCCGAGUGUAGAGGUAAUAGUGCCAGACAAUCAAACCAGACCAAGGUGCCAGACAGAGUUUGGCAGAUGUGUGGUGGCUUGCCGUUGGCCAUAGUUACCAUGGCAGGUGUGGUGGCAUCCAAGCCACUGAUGAUCAGAGAUGAAUGGAUUGCCGUUUGCAAUUCCUUGUUUCCGGAGCCAGAAAAAUGUCAUAAACCAGAGGAAUUUAUGAGGAUAAUAAACUAUUGCUACAACGACUUGCCUAGUGAUCUCAAGACUUGCUGUCUGUAUCUUAGCAUAUUUCCUAAGGGCCGUGAAGUUAGCAGGAAGCGGCUGAUUCGGAGGUGGAUAGCGGAAGGUUUCGUCAGUGAGAAGCAAGGUUUGAGUGUGGAGGAUGUUGCUGACACAUGCUUCAAACAGCUCAUUGAAAGGAAGAUGAUGAGGCCCGUUGAGCACAACAGCAAUGGAAGCGUCAAAAGUUGUCGGGUCCAUGACAUGGUACUUGAGUACAUCAUUUCCAAGGCAGCAGAGGAGAAUUUCAUCACUGUGGUCGGUAGCCACUGGUCCAUGUCAACAAGUAGCAAGAAAGUUCGUAGGCUCACUAUCCAUGGCAGUGACCCCAAACGUGCAAAGAAUGUUGACAGUAUGAACUUGUCACAUGUCCGAUCACUGACUGUGUUCGAGAACCUGGACAAACUGCACUUCAAAUCAUUUAAAACUGGAAUAGUGCAAGUGUUAGAUCUCGAAGGCUGCAAAGGUUUCAGGGAGAGCGAUGCCAACGUUUCAGACAUAUGCGAAAUGAUUCUACUUAAGUAUCUGAGCCUACGGAAAACAGACAUAAAAAAUCUUCCCAAUAAUAUUUCCAAGCUCAAGUACCUAGAGACUCUCGAUGUUAGGGAGACAGAAGUUAAACAGCUGCCUACGACUGUAGGGCAGUUGGAACGGAUAACUAACAUCCUUGGUGGUGAUAAGAGAAGACAGAGAACCCUGAAACUUCCUAAGGAGCUCAAGGGAACAAUGAAAUCUUUACGCAUAUUGUCGGGGGUUGAGAUUGUGGAGGGAUCAACAGCUGCAUCAGACUUCAGUUACUUCACUACUCUGAGGAAGCUGGCAAUUUACAGGAUCCACCACAAUGAAGAUAUAUUCAAAAAUUUGCUGUCCUCGAUCCAGUACCUCAGUGGUUAUUCACUCCAAACUCUUUUAAUCGUUGAUGAGUCAUCUGAAUUCUUCAAGACCCUGGAGUCAAUGUCGCCAUCCCAUCUAACUGACCUGAGAGCUCUGGAGCUGUCUGGCAAAUUGCUUUACCUUCCAAAGUGGCUCGACACUCUUCAACAUCUUGUGAAGUUAACGCUUUCAGCAACAGCCCUAUGCACUGAUAACUUUUUGGUCAUCAGAAAACUGAACUCGUUGUUUUCCCUCACCUUUUCAAUCAGCGAAAAGCAAGACCCUGCUUUGGCAGCCAUUCUUGAGAAAAAUAAGUCAGCUUCAAGAGGAGAAAUCGUUGUGCCAGCUGGAGGCUUCAGUAAGCUCAAGCUGCUUCGGAUAUUUGUUCCUCUUCUUCCAUCCCUUACCUUCUCAAAGAAUGCUACACCACAUCUGGAAAGGAUUGAACUGCGUUUUAAAAAGCUGGAAGGAUUUCAUGGUGUGGAUGAACUUGGAAAGCUCCAAGAUGUGGUCUUAACAGUUGACGGGCAUGCAAGUGAGAGGACAAAUUCGAUACUAGACGGAUUGAAGCAGAGGCUAGAAGGAAAGUGCAACCUCAUUGUCAACAAGUAUCACGACUGAUUGAAAUGGAUGUAAACAUAUUUCUUUGAGUAGAAAGAUCACCAGCUCAUUAGAUUUGCAGUAAAGGGUCGGAGACACGGAGACGGCUGCAUCCCUAGACUCCCAUAGGCCGACCCACCGCAAAUCCCACAGCCUCUUAUGCUUCAUGGUUCUCGGCCAUUUCAGGUUCGGUUAUUUCGAAUCCACAUCCAUGUGGAUUGAGGGAUCGAGACGGAUUUUGACUUGUUAUGGAUUUAAACCGACUCAAUCCCACUUAAUCCACAUCAAUUAAGAGCGAACCGAACAAGCUGUCAUGGUUCUCGGCCAUAGCUGUAGCGAGCAUGUAUAACGGAACAACUUUCUUAUAUGAUGUAAGUGCAUUCUUAGUAAUAAUUAAGUAAACAACGUUCUCAUAUAAGUUUGGAUGAGGAAAAAGCAUUUUAGUGGACAUCAUUCUCAUA
RNA transcript from Zea mays, 3789 nucleotides. It is a transcript of the gene named disease resistance protein PIK6-NP, with no coding region annotated. Lineage: Eukaryota; Viridiplantae; Streptophyta; Magnoliopsida; Poales; Poaceae. The record is from RefSeq and is a predicted model, not a curated record. The transcript is spliced from 3 exons.